Molecule: long non-coding RNA, 546 nt
Organism: Apus apus (common swift)
Lineage: Eukaryota; Metazoa; Chordata; Aves; Apodiformes; Apodidae
Exons: 5
Source: RefSeq, a predicted model, not a curated record
CUGAUUGCUUCCUCAGAGGAAACUUCAUUUCUUCUCAGAGAGGUGUGAGUAUUUGGUCUGUGCUGGGAUUCUUGGGGGCUCCAGGAGCUGCCAGAGAAAUGAGCCAACAAUCCAACAAGAGCUGAAGGGAGAAGUGGAAACUAGGAACUGCCUUGCAUGUCAAAGAGGUGAUGGGACCCUCUUGAAGAUCUAGGGAGCUGAAUAAAAGGCAUCCUCCAAAGGAAAAGGAGCAGAAAAAGGUGCUGACAUCAGGGCACAGAAUUGAUCUUCAAACAGUAGUUUCACCUGCAAAGCUCCAAGCACUCUGAGGAUGGUCAAGAGAGACAAACUCCUCCAUCUGGAUUUCUGGAGGAUCAGUGGCAACAGUUGGAUAAUCAUUUCCUCACUUACUACACUUAUGAAGGAAGACCUGGGCUUCUCAGGGAAGAACCAGGAUCCCAGUGGCCAAGUGCUGUGAACAGGCAGCACAAAGACAGAGCUCUAACCCCAGAGCUCAUUUGUUAAUUCCAAGUGUCACAUCUCAUUCCUUUCCACUUGGGCUGGAAU